ACAAGGGCGGGUCUUCGCCGACACCAUAGAGGUGGGCCUUUGGCGACGUCAGAGGCGCGGGUGUUCGGCUGCGUCACUGGGGCGCUAUGGUGCCUGGAGCUGGGCAGUUUUCUCGUCAGAGUGGGGACUGGUAAGAGCGACCUCCCCGCCAGGUCCUGUGUGUUGCCGGCUGAAGAAGGGUAGCUGAAAAAUUCAGACCCAGCACAGUGUUUAUGUUGGUCAAAAAUAGAAAACUAUGUCUGGCGCGGCCGAGGCGGGAGGACCCUUCAGGCCAAGAGCAGCGUAGCAACAUGGCGCAACCCCAUCUCUGUAGUCCUACCUCAGCCCCCCAGCUACUUGAACCCAAAGGUUCAAGGCUCCAGUGAGCUAUGAUCCCACCACAGCAUUCCAGCCUGCGAGAUUGAGAUGAUGAUUAUUCCCCACCUUCUAAGAGACAAAGACCAACGAGCCACCACAGCCACCAGUCCCAGAACCCGCCAAUGCUGGGGAACGGAAAAUGAGGGAGUUCAACUCUGAGAAAUGGAAUCAUCGUAUCGCUGAUCUACGUAAACAAACUGAAGAAUUGUCUGAAAGAAAAUAUGACAUGAACUUAUGAAUUCAACAGGUGAAGAUUUACAACUUGAUAAAUCAACUUUGUGAGCUCGAGCUGUAAAAGCCAAAGGUCUGGUGAUGAUCCCAUACCCUUUUUUCCAGUCUCAUGUUGAAGAUUUUUAUGUAGAAGGCCUUCCCAAAGGAAUUUUUUUUUUUUUUUUUUUUUGAGAUGGAGUUUUCACUCUUAUCGCCCAGGCUGGGGUGCAAUGGCGCAACCUUGCUGGUCACUGCAACCUCUGCCUCCUGGGUUCAAGAAAUUCUCCUGCCUUAGCCUCCCAAGUCGCUGGGAUUAUAGGUGCCCACCACCACACCAGGCUAAUUUUUGUAUUUUUAGUGGAGAUGGGGUUUCACCAUGUUGGCCGGGCCAGUCUCGAACUCCUGAUGUCAAGUGAUCUUCCCGCCUCGACUCCUGACAUCAAGUGAUCUUCCCGCCUCGGCCUCCCAGAGUGCUGAGAUUACAGACGUGAACCCAUGCCUGGCCAGGAAUUUUGUUUUUUAGGAAGGCUUUCUACUAAUGGAAUUCCUGGCCUUGAGAGGAUGUUACUUUCGAAGGAAAGGAUUUUUUUGUUAUUAAAAGAGCCACCUAAGCUGAAGAUUCCCUUGAGAACAAGUACUGUCCUGCGGUUUCAUGGCCUUUCUUCCAUUUGUGGUUCUUGUGAAGUGGAAUUUAAAUGACAUCUUAUCAAGAUGGAUAAACCCUAGUUUCCCAGUGCUGGAAUAUAGAAAAUGGAUGGACAAGUAAAUCCCACUCAGCACCCAUAGUCCAGGCAUGGGGACCUCAACACACCUGAGCACCAGACAUCACCUUUCAUUCUGGAUCUACCAUGAAAGACUUCUGAAUCCAGGAAGAGAGACUGACUGGGCAACAUGUUAUUCAGGGUCUCCCUCUGUUGUCCAAGGCUGGAGUGUAGUAGUGCUAUCACAGCUGACUGCAGCCUCAACCUUCUAGGCUGAAGCGAUCCUCCCAUCUCAACCUCCCACGUGGCUGAGACUACAGGUGCUUGCCACUAUGCCCAACUAAUAUUUGGAAUUUUCGUAUACGUGGAUUCCAGAGGGGUGACAGCGAAAUUAGGUGACCUCACAGUGACUCAAGCUACCACUUACUGUUGAUUGUGACGAAAUGCCAGCUGAGGCACAUGCCUUGGGAGCUAAGUGGUUGCUGCACUUGACCACUGUGAAGACUGGUGUGGGAAGAAGGGUCGUUUCUGAUGCACUUGAGCAGGGGUCCCCAACCCCUGAGCCAUGGAGCCGCAAGGAGCCACACAGCAGGAGGUGGGACCAUCCAGUUGCAGGAAAACAAGCUUAACACGCCCACUGAUUCUACAUUAUGCUCCUACCUCCCGGCAGCCUCUCCAGGCCCAGAACUUUCUCCAGUCAGCCUCUACAGACCAAGCUCAUGACUCACAAUGGCCUAUUUAGGCCCAUACCCUACCUCACGGCAGUCUCCGCAGAUGAGCCUACUGCCUCACAACAGCCUCCACAGGCACAGCUCCAUCGUUACAAUGGCCUCUUUAGACCCAGCUCCUGCCUCCCAGCCUUCUCUCCAGGCCCUGAACUUUCUCAAGUCGACCUCACCAGGCCCAGCUCAUGCUUCUUUGCAGCCUCUCCAGGCCCAACUCCUGCAUCUUGGUGGCCCCUCCAGGCCCAGCCUGUGCCUCCCGUCGGCCUCUACAAUCCCAACAUCUGCCUCACAGCAGAUUCUUCACGCCCAGCCUCUGCCUCACAGUGGACCCUCCAGACCCAGAUGGUGUCUCACUGUGGCAUCCUCAGGCGAAGCUCCUGCCUUUCAGCAGCCUCUCCAGGCCCAGCUCCUCCUGCCUCCCAGUGGCCUCUUUCGGCCCAGCCCAGCUCAUGCCUCCCGGCGGCCUUCCCAAGCCCCGCUUUUGACUUUUGGUGGCCUCUGCAGGCCUCGACAAGGCCCAGCCUCCUGCCUCCCGAAGGCCUGCACAGGCCCAGCCUCUGCCUCACAGCGGACUCUCCACGCCCAGCUAGCUCUCGCCUCACUGCGGCCUCCCCAGUCCAAAGCUCCUGCCUUUCGGCCACUUCGGCAGGUCCAGCUACUGCCUGCCAGUGGCCUCUUUAGGCCCAGCUCAUUCCUCACAACGGCCUUUCCAGGCCCCGUUUUUCCCUUCCGGCAGCCUCUUGGCUUCUAAUUUGUUUAUCUUUUGUGUAUAAAUCCCAAAAUAUGGAAUUUUGGAAUAUUUCCACCAUUAUAUAUUUUGGUCGGUAAUUUAUUUGGAGUGAGUUUCUGCACCAUGCCCGAAUUUUUUAUUUUAUUUUCCUUAUUAUUUGGUGUUAAACAGGUUUAAUGACAGUCAUGGCAACUUUUUGGCACAAUGAAAAAUAUCGCCCAUGA
RNAcentral lists this long non-coding RNA (2947 nucleotides) under Homo sapiens (human). RNAcentral's name for it is "long non-coding RNA NONHSAT153026.1". The record is from RNAcentral. Lineage: Eukaryota; Metazoa; Chordata; Mammalia; Primates; Hominidae.